AAGCCCAUUCGCGCUGAUGGUACUGCAACUUGGUGGUUGUGGGAGAGUAAGUGACUGCCGCAA
RNAcentral lists this ribosomal RNA (63 nucleotides) under Brevibacterium iodinum ATCC 49514. Lineage: Bacteria; Bacillati; Actinomycetota; Actinomycetes; Micrococcales; Brevibacteriaceae. The record is from RNAcentral.